UACGUAGGUGGCGAGCGUUGUCCGGAUUUACUGGGCGUAAAGGGCGUGCAGGCGGUUUGUUAAGUGCAGAGUGAAAGCUCCCGGCUCAACUGGGAGAGGUCUUUGCAUACUGGCAAACUCGAGGGAGGCAGAGGAAAGUGGAAUUCCCGGUGUAGUGGUGAUAUGCGUAGAUAUCGGGAGGAACACCUGUGGCGAAGGCGGCUUUCUGGGCCUUAACUGACGCUGAGACGCGAAAGCGUGGGGAGCGAGCCGG
Molecule: ribosomal RNA, 253 nt
Filed under: uncultured bacterium
Lineage: Bacteria
Description: partial 16S ribosomal RNA
Rfam family: Bacterial small subunit ribosomal RNA
Source: RNAcentral